This 443-nucleotide ribosomal RNA is filed under the name uncultured bacterium. RNAcentral's name for it is "partial 16S ribosomal RNA". It matches the Rfam family "Bacterial small subunit ribosomal RNA", at positions 338 to 795 of the family's 1533-position model. The record is from RNAcentral.
CCUACGGGAGGCAGCAGUGGGGAAUAUUGGUCAAUGGGGGGAACUCUGAUCCAGCGACGUCGCGUGAGUGAAGAAGUAUUUCGGUAUGUAAAGCUCUAUCAGCAGGGAAGAAAGAAAUGACGGUACCUGACUAAGAAGCCCCGGCUAACUACGUGCCAGCAGCCGCGGUAAUACGUAGGGGGCAAGCGUUAUCCGGAUUUACUGGGUGUAAAGGGAGCGUAGACGGCGAUGCAAGUCUGAAGUGAAAGGCGGGGGCCCAACCCCCGGACUGCUUUGGAAACUGUAUGGCUGGAGUGCAGGAGAGGUAAGUGGAAUUCCUAGUGUAGCGGUGAAAUGCGUAGAUAUUAGGAAGAACACCAGUGGCGAAGGCGGCUUACUGGACUGUAACUGACGUUGAGGCUCGAAAGCGUGGGGAGCAAACAGGAUUAGAUACCCGAGUAGUC